UGGUGGUGUUCUUCUUUUUCCACUCCAGAAUUUAAUAAUCAAUGGGCGACAAAAUUUCUUGGUAGUUGAAUCCCCAAAUAAAUGCUGUUUCAUAACCCGAAGAGAGAGAGAGAAGAACACAGGCUUUCCUUUCCCUUCCUCUAUAUAAAUUCAGAGCCCUCCCUUUAUUGCCUUAAGCUUGCUAAUCA
This is a long non-coding RNA of Cucurbita moschata (crookneck pumpkin), 188 nucleotides long. RefSeq lists it as uncharacterized. The transcript is spliced from 3 exons. Lineage: Eukaryota; Viridiplantae; Streptophyta; Magnoliopsida; Cucurbitales; Cucurbitaceae. The record is from RefSeq and is a predicted model, not a curated record.